This 373-nucleotide ribosomal RNA is filed under the name uncultured organism. RNAcentral describes it as "bacterial SSU rRNA". It matches the Rfam family "Bacterial small subunit ribosomal RNA", at positions 526 to 896 of the family's 1533-position model. The record is from RNAcentral.
CGUAGGGUGCGAGCGUUGUCCGGAAUUAUUGGGCGUAAAGGGCUCGUAGGCGGUUUGUCGCGUCGGGAGUGAAAACAUCGGGCUUAACUCGGUGCUUGCUUUCGAUACGGGCAGACUAGAGGUAUGCAGGGGAGAAUGGAAUUCCUGGUGUAGCGGUGAAAUGCGCAGAUAUCAGGAGGAACACCGGUGGCGAAGGCGGUUCUCUGGGCAUUACCUGACGCUGAGGAGCGAAAGUGUGGGGAGCGAACAGGAUUAGAUACCCUGGUAGUCCACACCGUAAACGUUGGGCGCUAGGUGUGGGAUCCUUUCCACGGGUUCCGUGCCGUAGCUAACGCAUUAAGCGCCCCGCCUGGGGAGUACGGCCGCAAGGCUA